GGCCCAGCAGGUUCAUGGGGAGGGGACACAGGUUCUACCUCUGAAUGCAGGCAUGGCAAGGUUCUGGAUGAGCAUGCAAGAUAAGAAAAUAUCGUUGUGGCUAUUUAUAAAAAAUCUGUCCCAGUCAGUGUUCACUGCUUGGAUUUGGCUAUUACACCUGCUACAUAAUCUUA
Long non-coding RNA from Galeopterus variegatus (Sunda flying lemur), 173 nucleotides. RefSeq lists it as uncharacterized. The transcript is spliced from 2 exons. Lineage: Eukaryota; Metazoa; Chordata; Mammalia; Dermoptera; Cynocephalidae. The record is from RefSeq and is a predicted model, not a curated record.